Molecule: transfer RNA, 75 nt
Filed under: Burkholderia ubonensis
Lineage: Bacteria; Pseudomonadati; Pseudomonadota; Betaproteobacteria; Burkholderiales; Burkholderiaceae
Description: tRNA-Ala
Rfam family: tRNA
About the family: Transfer RNA (tRNA) molecules are approximately 80 nucleotides in length. Their secondary structure includes four short double-helical elements and three loops (D, anti-codon, and T loops). Further hydrogen bonds mediate the characteristic L-shaped molecular structure. tRNAs have two regions of fundamental functional importance: the anti-codon, which is responsible for specific mRNA codon recognition, and the 3' end, to which the tRNAs corresponding amino acid is attached (by aminoacyl-tRNA synthetases). tRNAs cope with the degeneracy of the genetic code in two manners: having more than one tRNA (with a specific anti-codon) for a particular amino acid; and 'wobble' base-pairing, i.e. permitting non-standard base-pairing at the 3rd anti-codon position.
Source: RNAcentral
GGGGGCAUAGCUCAGGGGGAGAGCGUCUGCUUUGCAAGCAGAGGGUCGUGGGUUCAAAUCCCACUGCUUCCACCA